AGUUCUGGAGUAUUAUUACGUCAGAUUGCAAAUCUGAAGAAGCAGACUUAUCGUUUGCCGGGGCUU
Molecule: transfer RNA, 66 nt
Filed under: Trisopterus luscus
Lineage: Eukaryota; Metazoa; Chordata; Actinopteri; Gadiformes; Gadidae
Description: tRNA-Cys
Source: RNAcentral